Molecule: ribosomal RNA, 408 nt
Filed under: uncultured bacterium
Lineage: Bacteria
Description: bacterial SSU rRNA
Rfam family: Bacterial small subunit ribosomal RNA
Source: RNAcentral
GGAGGGUGCAAGCGUUAAUCGGAAUCACUGGGCGUAAAGCGCACGCAGGCGGUUUGUUAAGUCAGANGUGAAANCCCCGGGCUCAACCUGGGAACNGCAUCUGAUACUGGCAAGCUUGAGUUUCGUGGAGGGGGGUAGAAUUCCAGGUGUUAGCGGUGAAANGCGUAGAGAUCUGGAGGAANACCGGUGGCGAAGGCGGCCCCCUGGACGAAAGUNGACGCUCAGGUGCGAAAGCCGUUGGGAGCAAACAGGAUUAGAUACCCUGGUAGUCCACGCCGUAAACGAUGUUGACUUGGAGGUUNGUUGCCCCUUUGAGGCCGUUGGCUUCCGGAGCUAACGCGUUAAGUGACCCGCCUGGGGAGUACGGCCGCAAGGUUAAAACUCAAAGGAAUUGACGGAAGCCCGAAU